GUGUGUGUGUGUGUGUGUGUGUGUAUAUAUGUAUAUAUAUAUAUAUAUACACACACACACACACACACACACAUACAUACAUACA
RNAcentral lists this microRNA precursor (85 nucleotides) under Myotis lucifugus (little brown bat). RNAcentral describes it as "miRNA (ENSMLUG00000020180.1)". The record is from RNAcentral. Lineage: Eukaryota; Metazoa; Chordata; Mammalia; Chiroptera; Vespertilionidae.